Molecule: transfer RNA, 70 nt
Filed under: Cynoponticus ferox (Guinea pike conger)
Lineage: Eukaryota; Metazoa; Chordata; Actinopteri; Anguilliformes; Muraenesocidae
Description: tRNA-Arg
Rfam family: tRNA
About the family: Transfer RNA (tRNA) molecules are approximately 80 nucleotides in length. Their secondary structure includes four short double-helical elements and three loops (D, anti-codon, and T loops).
Source: RNAcentral
AGAUGACUAGUCUAAUGAAAGACUAUUAAUUUCGGCUUAGUAAAACAUGGUUCAAUUCCAUGGUCAUCAU